CGGGUUAUACAUGUAUCAUUGUCCAAAACCUAUUUACAUAUUAUUCAUAUUUACAAUAGAGUGAUCUUUUAACAUCAAAAUCCCAAUCAUGUACUCAUACAAUCAAGUGAUAGAACACAUGUUUUUCUUCCACAUAUCUACUCCCACAGUUCCUUCUCUGGAUGUGGACAGCAUUCUUUCUCCUAAGUUCCGAAGAAUUGUCCUGGAUCAUUGCAUUGCUGCUACUAGAAAAGUUUAUUAUAUCUGAUUGUGCCAAAGUGUAUCAGUCUUUGUGUACAAUGUUCUCCUGAUUCUGCUCCUUUCACUCUGUAUAAGUUCUUGAAGUUCAUUCCAGUUCACAUAGAAAUCCUCCAGUUCAUUCCUGAAAACCAAUCAAAUAUUUUUUUUUUCCAUCUGACUUUCAAAUUAUUCUUUUGUGGAUAGAUGAGAUUUUCCAUGGGCUGUCUAGGAAGCAUGGUUUAGAAAUUCCUCAGUACCUCUAGGAUGACAAACUUUGUUCCAAAGCCAUUUUUAUCAGAAAGAGCUGCCUAUGAAAGACAUUUAACGUGGUCCUCUGUAAACCAUUCAAUUUGUCAAUUGAGAUAGAGGGAAUUGAAUCCAAUUGACUUAUAUUCUCCUUCAGAUUAAAAAAAAAGAUUAUGGGAUAUUUAAUGAGGGUUACUGUAGAAUUUCACAGUUUAUUACAACAAUUGCAUAUUAAAUUUUAGUGUCCAGUAAUGUUCAAUAAUUUCCAUGGCCAAUAAAUAUUGCAGUACUCCAAGCUCCUGGGAAUGUUCCUUUAGUCAGGUUGAGACAUUUAAGAGGUGAUAAUAACUGAACCAAGGUAAAUUGGUAUUUACUCCUAACCUGUUCUGGUCUUAUUUGUAUUUUGUCCUAUCUUCUGCUAAGUUGUCCUUCCUUCAUGUCUCCAUUAAUUCUAAGAUUCUAGGUGAUCACUCACCAUGAGGACUCUCUACCUGAUGUAUAUGGUGCUUUUUUUGGUAUUACCCUAUGCUGUCAAAGGUGGUCCUGGAUCUCCCUUUCUUGAAACAUAUGAAAAUGAAGACUUUUAUAUGUGUCGGAUUAUGGGUGGCCGUUGUUUGUCAGAAUGUCCAGUAGAGUACUUUCUUGGUGGCUACUGUCAGGAUUUUGACAUAUUUUGCUGUGUGCCUUAGAAAACAGAAACAGAAAAGAACAGUGCAUCCAGACUCUGUGGUACAGAAGAGUGAGAGUAUAAAACAGGGGAGAAGUUGAAAUGCAUGGAAUAUAUUAUGUUUGUUUAAAUAAAG
RNAcentral lists this long non-coding RNA (1268 nucleotides) under Monodelphis domestica (gray short-tailed opossum). RNAcentral's name for it is "lncRNA (ENSMODG00000043360.1)". Lineage: Eukaryota; Metazoa; Chordata; Mammalia; Didelphimorphia; Didelphidae. The record is from RNAcentral.